GUAGGUGGCAAGCGUUGUCCGGAAUUAUUGGGCGUAAAGCGCGCGCAGGCGGUUCUUUAAGUCUGAUGUGAAAGCCCACGGCUCAACCGUGGAGGGUCAUUGGAAACUGGAGAACUUGAGUACAGAAGAGGAAAGCGGAAUUCCACGUGUAGCGGCGAAAUGCGUAGAGAUGUGGAGGAACACCAGUGGCGAAGGCGGCUUUCUGGUCUGUAACUGACGCUGAGGCGCGAAAGCGUGGGGAGCAAACAGGAUUAGAUACCCUGGUAGUCCACGCCGUAAACGAUGAGUGCUAAGUGUUAGGGGGUUUCCGCCCCCCUUAGUGCUGCAGCUAACGCAUUAAGCACUCCGCCUGGGAGUACGGCCGCAAGGCUG
RNAcentral lists this ribosomal RNA (372 nucleotides) under uncultured organism. RNAcentral's name for it is "partial 16S ribosomal RNA". It matches the Rfam family "Bacterial small subunit ribosomal RNA", at positions 527 to 896 of the family's 1533-position model. The record is from RNAcentral.